Molecule: long non-coding RNA, 475 nt
Organism: Homarus americanus (American lobster)
Lineage: Eukaryota; Metazoa; Arthropoda; Malacostraca; Decapoda; Nephropidae
Exons: 3
Source: RefSeq, a predicted model, not a curated record
UCAGGUACUACUGUCGGAGUCGCUGGCGCAGGAUAGCGUGAACACCUUCGGGUGGUCUCUGGUGGCGGGCGAGGACCUGGAUGGGAACGAGUACCCCGACCUGGUAGUUGGCGCCCACGACACUAACAGCGCCUUCGUCUUCCGCACUAGACCCGUCGUGUAGGUUAACGCUACCAUUAAAUUCAAGUCCAAGAGCGGGAUAAUGGACUUAGACGUCAGGGGAUGUUCGCUUCAGGACUCUACCGAGGUGCCAUGUGUGUCUCUCCAGUACUGCCUGAGUUACACUGGUCACCGCGUCCUCAAUACCCUACAGAUGGCGGUGUGGGUGAGGGUGGACACACACUCGGACCUGCCCAGGAUGUUCUUCUUACACCGUGAACCAGAGUCUUCCAACAACAUCACCAUGAACCUAAGGAAGGCUGUCGAGAACUGCACUACUGUGUACACCUAUAUCUCUGUGAGUACCGUACCUAAC